AUGUUCUCUCCUUGCUCCAAAGCCUUUGCUGGCUCCCAGCACCUCCAAGUGAAAGUCCAAGCUGCCCAGCCAGGCAGAAGGCCCUGCGUGAUCUGGCCCCACCAACUUCAUCACCCAGCCCACCAGCUUCCUGUGUGCACCUCCCAGGCCUUCCCAGAGUCCUGCAUUUGGCUUGUUCUCAUCCUCACAGGCCCCCGGGCUGGGUUGCUUAGGAUGGUGUGUGCCUGGCCACUUGUGGCUCUGCCCAUCCUACGAUCCUGUGUGUGCAUGGGCCACACACCUGCUGCCACCACAGCUCAUGCACACGUGUGUGUCUUCUCUUCUCGCAGGUGGGCCCCGUUCCCAAGUGUCCUCCCCCUCAAAGAGGCCCAGGCGUAUGGCAGGGGCUGCCCAGGCAGGAAAGAUGCUUGGACAGGGAACUGCGGAGGUGAAAGUGUCCUUCAAGGAGAUCCAGACCGACCCCGCCUGACCAGUUCUGCCUCCACAUAAGGGAAGACUGAGGCCAGGCCUGGGACCCAGAAUUAAAGGUGUAUUUUUAUCCAUCCAUGGGCCAUGGUGGAAGGUAAGUUCCAUUCCACAGGACGGGAGGCUUCAGGCUCUCAGAAAGGGGUUGGGUGCAGUUCUGGGGACAUCUAUAGGGCAGGAAGGCCUGCGGGUCAGUGCUUGAAGAGUUUGGAAUAGGGCUAGCAGAGG
RNAcentral lists this long non-coding RNA (693 nucleotides) under Fukomys damarensis (Damara mole-rat). RNAcentral's name for it is "lncRNA (ENSFDAG00000030182.1)". The record is from RNAcentral. Lineage: Eukaryota; Metazoa; Chordata; Mammalia; Rodentia; Bathyergidae.